UCCGGAUUAACACCGCAUGACACGCCGGGACGGCAUCGUCCCGGCGUCAAAUAUUCAUAGGAUAUGGAUGGGCUCGCGUGACAUUAGCUAGUUGGUGGGGUAACGGCCCACCAAGGCGACGAUGUCUAGGGGCUCUGAGAGGAGAAUCCCCCACACUGGUACUGAGACACGGACCAGACUCCUACGGGAGGCAGCAGUAAGGAAUAUUGGUCAAUGGGGGCAACCCUGAACCAGCCAUGCCGCGUGCAGGACGACUGCCCUAUGGGUUGUAAACUGCUUUUGCCGGGGAAUAAACCCCACUACGUGUAGUGGGCUGAACGUACCCGGAGAAUAAGGAUCGGCUAACUCCGUGCCAGCAGCCGCGGUAAUACGGAGGAUCCGAGCGUUAUCCGGAUUUAUUGGGUUUAAAGGGUGCGUAGGCGGCACUUUAAGUCAGGGGUGAAAGACGGCAGCUCAACUGUCGCAGUGCCCUUGAUACUGAAGUGCUUGAAUGCGGUUGAAGACGGCGGAAUGAGACAAGUAGCGGUGAAAUGCAUAGAUAUGUCUCAGAACACCGAUUGCGAAGGCAGCUGUCUAAGCCGUUAUUGACGCUGAUGCACGAAAGCGUGGGGAUCGAACAGGAUUAGAUA
This 629-nucleotide ribosomal RNA is filed under the name Sphingobacterium sp. Its description in RNAcentral is "bacterial SSU rRNA". It matches the Rfam family "Bacterial small subunit ribosomal RNA", at positions 157 to 784 of the family's 1533-position model. The record is from RNAcentral. Lineage: Bacteria; Pseudomonadati; Bacteroidota; Sphingobacteriia; Sphingobacteriales; Sphingobacteriaceae.